AAAUCUAGAUAGUCUUCUUGUGGCUCUCAAUUAAAUAUGUUUAUAGAGGAAAGUCUUUAUUCUCAGGAUGCAGGUAGCUUAUACAGGAAAACGGUAUUUAUGCCUCCUCUUUUUUACCACCUCAUACCAUAUUGGCUACUGCGUUCGGCAAAUUUUUCACAUAAAUAAAUCAGAAACAAGAUAAUAAUAUUAUAUAGUACACAUGAUAACUUGAUAAUAAAAGAAAUUAAUAAUCACCUGAGGUGGUCCACUCAAUUAUUUGAUUUAUGUUCAAUCCUUCGUUAUUCGGAACCAGCCCAAUUGGAGGGGUUUGGAGGGUUCUG
This 323-nucleotide unclassified non-coding RNA is filed under the name Hevea brasiliensis (rubber tree). The record is from RNAcentral. Lineage: Eukaryota; Viridiplantae; Streptophyta; Magnoliopsida; Malpighiales; Euphorbiaceae.